UCUAACCACUAGGCUACCCUGCCGACUAACAUGGUGACAGAAGUGCUUCAACCUCGUCAAAUAUAAAUCGGCAGAGAUUAUUUCACAGAAAAUAAUGUUCCUUGAGUUUUGUCAGAGUUUAGAGUAAUGAAAAGUAGCUAACAGCUGUCUCUUCAUUGAGCAGAGCAGCCCAAACGGAGCUGUUAAUAUGGAUACUCACAAACUCAUAGCCGCCAUGAGCAGAGCGCAUAGAGAACGAAUUGUGUGCAGAGAGCGAGUGACAGACAGAGCUGAGCAGCUAAUGGAUUUACUAACAGAGGGAGUUAUUUCUGGCAGGGCCUUAAAUUUGGCAGAAGUAAUCGGGCAUUGGUAGGGUAUGGCCUGAAUGUUGUGGGCAUGGGUUGGGCUCUGGCUUAAAAUCAAUGCUUGUGCAGGCCUCUACCUAUAUGCGAGUUAUAUGCGAGUGAAGUAAAUUUGUGAAAAAAAUUAGCAAAGUUGACUUUGGCAAGGUAGAAGAGGAGACUUGAGUUCCAGGAUCCGGUCGAAGUAAACAUUUUAAUACAAAGUUUUUCGGGAUACAAGUAAUCAUGUAAAAAUGCAAAGGCUAACAGCACCAGAGGCUAACAUGGAUGGGAUAACAGCACCAGAGGCUAACAGCACCAGAGGCUAACAUGGAUGGGAUAACAGCACCAGAGGCUAACAGCACCAGAGGCUAACAGCACCAGAGGCUAACAUGGAUGGGAUAACAGCACCAGAGGCUAACAGCACCAGAGGCUAACAUGGAUGGGAUAACAGCACCAGAGGCUAACAUGGAUGGGAUAACAGCACCAGAGGCUAACAGGAUGGGAAAACAGCACCACAGGCUAACAGCACCAGAGGCUAACAUGGAUGGGAUAACAGCACCAGAGGCUAACAUGGAUGGGAUAACAGCACCAGAGGCUAACAUGGAUGGGAUAACAG
Molecule: long non-coding RNA, 939 nt
Organism: Oncorhynchus tshawytscha (Chinook salmon)
Lineage: Eukaryota; Metazoa; Chordata; Actinopteri; Salmoniformes; Salmonidae
Exons: 2
Source: RefSeq, a predicted model, not a curated record